RNAcentral lists this long non-coding RNA (1420 nucleotides) under Trifolium pratense (red clover). Its description in RNAcentral is "long non-coding RNA (TPRA_LNC000386)". Lineage: Eukaryota; Viridiplantae; Streptophyta; Magnoliopsida; Fabales; Fabaceae. The record is from RNAcentral.
GUCCAAAAGAUUUUUGCACCUACCCUAAAGUUACGAAGUGCAAGUGGUUCUUUUGUAAAUGCGUAUGAUGACUAUUAGUUAAGUUUUUUUUUUCUUCUUCUGAUUGUGUAGUAGCCUAGUGGAGAAUUCGGGUUCGAAUUCCAUUCCUUUUAAUAAUGUCUCUUAGCAAUUAUCGACUGAGAUACCGCAAUUGUUAUUGCUUUAUUACUUUGUAGCUUAUAUAAAAAUUUUAUAAGCAUGUCAUGGACCCAUUCUAUACCCUAAUGUGUUUCUGAUUUAUUAAGAAAAAUAAGGACUUUUUGAAUAAACAAUAAGCCUUCAAAUUAAAAGAAAGAUCAAUUUAGCAAUGAAAAAUCACUUUGAUACAAACAAAGAAUUAUCCUCAUGUUAAAAGCAAAGAAAGUCAAGUGGAACCUUCUUUGAUAGACAAUUUUUUUUUCCGAAAGAUUAUCACUAUUAGUCAAUGUUAUUUUUAAUCAAUGAAUUUGUUACUUUUUUUAUAGAGAAUUUGUUACUUUUAGCUACCCAUAUGUUACUUGUUAGGAAUAUUAAUUUUAUUUUAAGUAAUCUAAGAAAUAAAAAUAAUAAUGAAAGGUCGAUAAAAACAAUGAAUAAAUCAACUCUCACGAAUACUAAGAUUAUCAUAAGACUUUUACUAAAAUUAAGUGAUCUAUUGUACGAGUUAAAAAGACAAAUAUAACACAUCAAUAUAUAAAAAGACAUUUAAUAACAAUUAUUAUUUUAGUUCGCAACAAAUUUUUUUUUUUAUUAUUUUAGAAAGAAUUUCAUGCAACUUAUAGGCACAAAAAACAAAUUGAUUGAAAGAGAGCAUAUAUAUGUUCUUUAACAUUAUAAAAUAUAUGAUCAAACAAUUAGUUGUUUAUUACAUGCAAACGACAAAAAAUAUGACUAAAUUUUUUAAAUUUGUUAAUGUUAUGAUCCUUAUUUUUUCAUUAUUUCUUGUUGUAUGCAAUGGUAAUAAACCCUUUCUCUCUCAUUUUUUUGAAAUUAAUUUUUUCUCUUAGACUUAUUUUUCAUCCCUUUUUCUUGUAAUUUAAUUACAUUCUUUUAUUCUUAUUUUACAUGGCAGCAUGGAGGCCACCACCUUUUGUUUGUUAUACUACCAAAGAUUGUCCAGAAGAUUAUUGCUCCCACCCUAAAGUUGUGAUGUGCAAGCGGUUUAUUUGUAAAUGCAUAUGAAUAAUAAGAAAAUAGUACAAAUAAUAAGAUUGUCCAGAAGAUUAUUGCUCCCACCCUAAGGAAUUUGAUUAUACUCUGUCCUUUUUUUUUUAUUUUUUUAUUUUUUUUUACAUUCUAUAAUAGUACAAAUAAUAAGAAAAUAUCUUAUAAUUUUUGUAAUUAUUUUUUAAGAUGGUGUGUUAAAAAGAUAAAAUGUAAUAUUCAAUUAGAAUAUAUAAGG